Long non-coding RNA from Hordeum vulgare subsp. vulgare (domesticated barley), 125 nucleotides. RefSeq lists it as uncharacterized. The record is from RefSeq and is a predicted model, not a curated record. The transcript is spliced from 3 exons. NCBI's taxonomy places the organism in Eukaryota, Viridiplantae, Streptophyta, Magnoliopsida, Poales, Poaceae.
AUACUCCAUCAACCUGUAGAUGAGAAGAGAAGUACUUAGGGGACGAUGUCGAUCUUACACAUUCAGCUUUGUGUUAAUAGUAAGCUCGAGAUGAAACUUUUGGCGGAGAUACAAUUUUGAUAUAC